AGCAUAUUUUGCCCAGGCGGAGCUCGACCGCCACUUCAAGCCAUGACGAGGUUCGUGACCGAACACCGUCACGCCUACGGAGUCGAGCCGAUCUGCCGUGUACUUCAGAUCGCUCCG
Stenotrophomonas sp. BIIR7 is the source of this 117-nucleotide regulatory RNA element. It matches the Rfam family "ALIL pseudoknot". Lineage: Bacteria; Pseudomonadati; Pseudomonadota; Gammaproteobacteria; Lysobacterales; Lysobacteraceae. The record is from Rfam.